GGAUCUCGAAAGCCUGUCCCAGUUCGGACUGGAGCUGNAACCCGACUCCACGAAGUUGGAUUCGCUAGUAAUCGCGCAUCAGCCAUGGCGCGGUGAAUACGUUCCCGGGCCUUGUACACACCGCCCGUCAAGCCAUGGGAGCCGGGGGCGCCUGAAGUCCGGGACCGCGAGGACCGGCCUAGGGCGAAACUGGUAACUGGGGCUAAGUCGUAACAAGGUAAC
Molecule: ribosomal RNA, 222 nt
Filed under: uncultured bacterium
Lineage: Bacteria
Description: partial 16S ribosomal RNA
Rfam family: Bacterial small subunit ribosomal RNA
Source: RNAcentral